Molecule: long non-coding RNA, 989 nt
Organism: Mytilus californianus (California mussel)
Lineage: Eukaryota; Metazoa; Mollusca; Bivalvia; Mytilida; Mytilidae
Exons: 9
Source: RefSeq, a predicted model, not a curated record
GUUGUAUGGGGGAAGGGUAAUCAUUCAGAAGGUGGGGUAAGAGUCAGGAUGUUUGGGGUAGGGUAAUCAGUCAGAAGGUGUGGUAAGAGUCAGGAUGUAUGGGGUAGGGUAAUCAGUCAGAAGGUGUGGUAAGAGUCAGGAUGUAUGGGGGAAGGGUAAUCAGUCAGAAGGUGUGGUAAGAGUCAGGAUGUAUGGGGUAGGGUAAUCAGUCAGAAGGUGUGGUAAGAGUCAGGAUGUAUGGGGUAGGGUAAUCAGUCAGAAGGUAUGGUAAGAGUCAGGAAGUAUGGGGGAAGGGUAAUCAUUCAGAAGGUGUGGUAAGAGUCAGGAUGUAUGGGGUAGGGUAAUCAUUCAGAAGGUGUGGUAAGAGUCAGGAUGUAUGGGGUAGGGUAAUCAUUCAGAAGGUGUGGUAAGAGUCAGGAUGUAUGGGGUAGGGUAAUCAGUCAGAAGGUGUGGUAAGAGUCAGGAUGUAUGGGGUAGGGUAAUCAGUCAGAAGGUGUGGUAAGAGUCAGGAUGUAUGGGGUAGGGUAAUCAUUCAGAAGGUGUGGUAAGAGUCAGGAUGUAUGGGGUAGGGUAAUCAGUCAGAAGGUGUGGUAAGAGUCAGGAUGUAUGGGGUAGGGUAAUCAGUCAGAAGGUGUGGUAAGAGUCAGGAUGUAUGGGGGUAGGGUAAUCAUUCAGAAGGUGUGGUAAGAGUCAGGAUGUAUGGGGGUAGGGUAAUCAUUCAGAAGGUGUGGUAAGAGUCAGGAUGUAUGGGGUAGGGUAAUCAUUCAGAAGGCGUGGUAAGAGUCAGGAUGUAUGGGGGUAGGGUAAUCAGUCAGAAGGUGGGGUAAGAGUCAGGAUGUAUGGGGUAGGGUAAUCAGUCAGAAGGUGUGGUAAGAGUCAGGAUGUAUGGGGGUAGGGUAAUCAUUCAGAAGGUGUGGUAAGAGUCAGGAUGUAUGGGGGUAGGGUAAUCAGUCAGAAGGUGUGGUAAGAGUCUGGAUGUAUGGGGGUAG